Molecule: long non-coding RNA, 447 nt
Filed under: Neogobius melanostomus (round goby)
Lineage: Eukaryota; Metazoa; Chordata; Actinopteri; Gobiiformes; Gobiidae
Description: lncRNA (ENSNMLG00000005447.1)
Source: RNAcentral
AGUGCUGUUCUUUAUAUUGCAUGCUAAUUUCCCCCAUGUCUUGCAGAUCAAGGAAGUGCUUGGUUUAACUUCAAAAAGCACGAAGCACAAUAUUUUAAACUAAUGUACCACGAUAUCCAUAUCUGGCUGUGCUGUGGUGGUUGUCAACAUUAGCAUGAAAAGAGUAAAACCUGGCCAGUGAAUCCACAUUCAUAUGAACUCAAGACUGCAAGAGAAUAGAGGUAGAGGAUCUCCUAAUGCAAUGGCCCUGCAGAUCGAUCACAGAUACAGUCGGCUUCUCUCUGUUGCCCAGGCAAAAGUGCCCUUGGACCUGCUUUGGCCACACUGGGACAGGGAAAUCCUGAACCUGAGAGAGGAGAUGACCUGAAGUAAUGAGGAAGAUGGCAAAAGGAAGCCUUUGCGGAGUUUGCAUCUACCUGAAGGAGGACGAUACAGAUUACUUUGAAU